GAUGAAGAACGUAGUGAAAUGCGAUAAGUAAUGCGAAUUGCAGAAUUUCCGUGAGUCAUCGAAUCUUUGAACGCACAUUGCGCCCGCCAGUAUUCUGGCGAGCAUGCCUGUUCGAGCGUCAUUUCAACCAUCAAGCCCCAGGCUUGUGUUGGAGCCCUGCGGCUGCCGCAGCCUCCCAAAACCAGUGGCGGGCUCGCUAUCACACCGAGUGCAGUAGUUUACUCUUCGCUCAGGGCGUGUGGCGGGUGCUAGCCGUGAAACCCCCAACUUCUCAAGGUUGACCUCGGAUCAGGUAGGAAUACCCGCUGAACUUAAGCAUAUCAAUAAGCGGAGGA
Molecule: unclassified non-coding RNA, 335 nt
Filed under: soil metagenome
Description: partial contains 5.8S ribosomal RNA, internal transcribed spacer 2, and large subunit ribosomal RNA
Rfam family: 5.8S ribosomal RNA (bases 1-121)
Source: RNAcentral